This 497-nucleotide ribosomal RNA is filed under the name uncultured bacterium. RNAcentral describes it as "partial 16S ribosomal RNA". It matches the Rfam family "Bacterial small subunit ribosomal RNA", at positions 28 to 507 of the family's 1533-position model. The record is from RNAcentral.
GAUGAACGCUGGCGGCGUGCCUAAUACAUGCAAGUCGAGCGUACAGAUGAGGAGCUUGCUCCUCUGACGUUAGCGGCGGACGGGUGAGUAACACGUGGAUAACCUACCUAUAAGACAGGGAUAACUUCGGGAAACCGGAGCUAAUACCGGAUAAUAUAUUGAACCGCAUGGUUCAAUAGUGAAAGACGGUUUUGCUGUCACUUAUAGAUGGAUCCGCGCCGCAUUAGCUAGUUGGUAAGGUAACGGCUUACCAAGGCAACGAUGCGUAGCCGACCUGAGAGGGUGAUCGGCCACACUGGAACUGAGACACGGUCCAGACUCCUACGGGAGGCAGCAGUAGGGAAUCUUCCGCAAUGGGCGAAAGCCUGACGGAGCAACGCCGCGUGAGUGAUGAAGGUCUUCGGAUCGUAAAACUCUGUUAUUAGGGAAGAACAAAUGUGUAAGUAACUAUGCACGUCUUGACGGUACCUAAUCAGAAAGCCACGGCUAACUACGUG